CCUUUGUGUACCUAUAUUGUUGCUUCGGCGGGGCCGCCCCGGCGCCUUCGGGCCCGGAACCAGGCGCCCGCCGGAGGCCCCAAACUCUUAUGUCUUUAGUGGUUUUCUCCUCUGAGUGACACACAUUCAAUAAACUAAAACUUUCAACAACGGAUCUCUUGGUUCUGGCAUCGAUGAAGAACGCAGCGAAAUGCGAUAAGUAAUGUGAAUUGCAGAAUUCAGUGAAUCAUCGAAUCUUUGAACGCACAUUGCGCCCUUUGGUAUUCCGAAGGGCAUGCCUGUUCGAGCGUCAUUACAACCCUCAAGCUCCCCAGUGCCUGGUGUUGGGGAUCGCCCAGCCUUCUCGCAAGGCCGCCGGGAAAUCUAGUUCAAGCGUCGCUGUAGUCACGUCCUCCUCUGCGUAGUAGCACAACCUCGCAGUUGGAACGCGGCGGUGGCCAUGCCGUUAAACACCCCACCAGGUAGGGAUACUCUGAACUUAAGCAUAUCCCGCUGCGAGAUCAUUACCG
This 509-nucleotide ribosomal RNA is filed under the name Myrothecium sp. M7-CA-302. Its description in RNAcentral is "eukaryotic LSU rRNA". The stretch from base 139 to 292 matches the Rfam family "5.8S ribosomal RNA". Lineage: Eukaryota; Fungi; Ascomycota; Sordariomycetes; Hypocreales; Stachybotryaceae. The record is from RNAcentral.